AAUGAUAUGCCUGAUUAAAGGAUUAUUUUGAUGUAAUAAAAAAAGUAAUAAAAAUUUACUAUCAUUA
Molecule: transfer RNA, 67 nt
Filed under: Ibalia sp. ZJUH 20220011
Lineage: Eukaryota; Metazoa; Arthropoda; Insecta; Hymenoptera; Ibaliidae
Description: tRNA-Ile
Source: RNAcentral